RNAcentral lists this ribosomal RNA (303 nucleotides) under uncultured bacterium. RNAcentral describes it as "bacterial SSU rRNA". It matches the Rfam family "Bacterial small subunit ribosomal RNA", at positions 30 to 313 of the family's 1533-position model. The record is from RNAcentral.
AGCGAACGUUAGCGGCAGGCCUAACACAUGCAAGUCGAGCGAGAAAGGGGCUUCGGCCCUGAGUAGAGCGGCGGACGGGUGCGUAACACGUGGAUAAUCUGCCCUUCGGCGGGGGAGUAACAGUCCGAAAGGAUUGCUAAUACCGCAUACGACAGCGGGGUCUAUGACUUUGCUGAGGAAAGGGGGCGGCCCGCGAAGGGGCGUCUCACCGGAGGAUGAGUCCGCGGCCCAUCAGCAGUUGGCGGGGUAAUGGCCCACCAAGGCAGAGACGGGUAGCUGGUCUGAGAGGAUGAUCAGCCACAC